GACGAACGCUGGCGGCGUGCUUAACACAUGCAAGUCGAACGGAAAGGCACUGCUUUUGUGGGGUGCUCGAGUGGCGAACGGGUGCGUAACACGUGAGUAACCUGCCCUUGACUUUGGGAUAACUUCAGGAAACUGGGGCUAAUAUCGGAUAGGAGCCCCUGCUGCAUGGUGGGGGGUGGAACGUUUCGGCGGUUGGGGAUGGACGCGCGGCUUAUCAGCUUGCUGGUGGGGUAGUGGCUUACCAAGGCUUUGACGGGUAGCCGGCCUGAGAGGGUGACCGGCCACAUUGGGACUGAGAUACGGCCCAGACUGCUACGGGAGGCAGCAGUGGGGAAUAUUGCACAAUGGGCGGAAGCCUGAUGCAGCAACGCCGCGUGCGGGAUGACGGCCUUCGGGUUGUAAACCGCUUUCGCCUGUGACGAAGCGUGAGUGACGGUAAUGGGUAAAGAAGCACCGGCUAACUACGUG
RNAcentral lists this ribosomal RNA (468 nucleotides) under uncultured bacterium. Its description in RNAcentral is "partial 16S ribosomal RNA". It matches the Rfam family "Bacterial small subunit ribosomal RNA", at positions 28 to 507 of the family's 1533-position model. The record is from RNAcentral.